CGAUUGUUGUGGUGGUGAUGGUUUCACACAGCUGAGUUAAAACUCAUACACGCACACAAAGAAAACUUUAUGACAAAAGAGAACGACAUUUCCAGUGUGCGCUGUGAUGGGGCUGGAGAUGCAGGAGACCAGCAGAUCUGCCACCGGGGGCCUUGGCCUAGAGACCCAGGCUCUGUGUGCCCUGGGGCACAAAGACAAAUGGCCAAGUGACAAGACACAAGGACCACAUGGGAACUAGAAGCUGACAUGUGUCUUAUACAUGUCCUGGCAGACAAGGUUAGCAGUCCACAAGUGACCACCUCUCCAUGGCACGCUCUCUAGCCCACAGAAGGAGCAUUCUCAUGCAUACUUCAGAGAUUAAGACUCCG
This 368-nucleotide long non-coding RNA is filed under the name Cavia porcellus (domestic guinea pig). RNAcentral's name for it is "lncRNA (ENSCPOG00000036246.1)". The record is from RNAcentral. Lineage: Eukaryota; Metazoa; Chordata; Mammalia; Rodentia; Caviidae.